CCUACGGGAGGCAGCAGUGAGGAAUAUUGGUCAAUGGGCGAGAGCCUGAACCAGCCAAGUCGCGUGAGGGAGUACUGCCCUAUGGGUUGUAAACCUCUUUUGUCGGGGAGCAAAAGCCGGACGUGUCCGGCUGUGAGCGUACCCGAAGAAAAAGCAUCGGCUAACUCCGUGCCCGCAGCCGCGGUAAUACGGAGGAUGCGAUCGUUAUCAGGUUUUAUUGGGUUUAAGGGGUUCGUAGGCGGCAUGUAAAGUCAGGUGUUAACGGCGCAGGCUCAACCUGUGUAUGGCACUUGAUACUUGCAAGGUGGAAUGCGGUAGAGGUAAAGGGAAUUCCUGGUGUAGCGGUGAAAUGCUUAGAUAUCAGGAGGAACAUCGGUGGCGUAAGCGCUUUACUGGGCCGUAAUUGACGCUGAGGAACGAAAGCCAGGGUAGCAAAUGGGAUUAGAUACCCGGGUAGUC
This 459-nucleotide ribosomal RNA is filed under the name uncultured bacterium. RNAcentral's name for it is "partial 16S ribosomal RNA". It matches the Rfam family "Bacterial small subunit ribosomal RNA", at positions 338 to 795 of the family's 1533-position model. The record is from RNAcentral.